CUUGUGCCCACCUCUGGCAAUGAUGAAAGACUGCAAGCCAGUCCCUUCUGCAUGUCAGGAAGGGUGCAGAGCUGGCCUUUAAUCCCUGAAGGAAAUAGCUAAAAAAGAAAACACAGUUGGGUUUUGUGUUGAUUUUCCAUUACUAAGAGCUACACUACAAGACUGGAGGAAAGCUAGGAAGAAGAAG
Molecule: long non-coding RNA, 187 nt
Organism: Passer domesticus (house sparrow)
Lineage: Eukaryota; Metazoa; Chordata; Aves; Passeriformes; Passeridae
Exons: 3
Source: RefSeq, a predicted model, not a curated record